Molecule: ribosomal RNA, 232 nt
Filed under: uncultured bacterium
Lineage: Bacteria
Description: partial 16S ribosomal RNA
Rfam family: Bacterial small subunit ribosomal RNA
Source: RNAcentral
CGUAGGUAAUCUAUCCUUAUAUUUGGGAUAACAUCGGGAAACUGGUGCUAAUACCGAAUGGUCUUCAUAGCUGUUGGGCUAUGGAGUAAAGGUGGCCUCUUCAUGAAAGCUACCGUGUAGGGAUGAGCCUGCGUACCAUUAGCUAGUAGGUGGGGUAAUGGCCCACCUAGGCUACGAUGGUUAGCGGGUCUGAGAGGAUGAUCCGCCACACUGGAACUGGAACACGGACCAG